RNAcentral lists this unclassified non-coding RNA (211 nucleotides) under soil metagenome. Its description in RNAcentral is "partial contains 5.8S ribosomal RNA, internal transcribed spacer 2, and large subunit ribosomal RNA". The record is from RNAcentral.
AACCUAGCACACCUGCGGUGUGUACCUGCGGAAGGAUCAUUACCGAGUUAUACAACUCAUCAACCCCUGUGAACUUACCUACAACGUUGCUUCGGCGGGAACAGACGGCCCCGUAAAACGGGCCGCCCCCGCCAGAGGACCCCUAACUCUGUUUUUAUAAUGUUUUUCUGAGUAAACAAGCAAAUAAAUUAAAACUUUUAACAACGGAUCU